CCACGACUAAUAGCCACGCCGAACGUGGAUUUUGAAGGGAUGCACUGCUGAAGUUAGAGCAUGGUACCGGAUCUAGGAGUGACAUGGAGAGACCCAGAGAGAGGCAGAAAGCAAAUAAUUUUCAAGCCGACGCUGGAUAUUUAUCCACCACAAGAUUAAUCUACAUUCUUCGGCUCAUCGGAUGGCUAUGCACGAGGUCAGUAGUUUUUGGGUCUAGUGAUAUUUGGACCACAUGCUUCAUUUGGACUAAAUGCAAGCACUAUUUCUGGCCAAGCGUGCGUAAUUUUUUAUUUUUUAUUUUCUUAUUAUGGGAAAACACAUUUAAAUCUAAAAUGCAAAUGAUAAUAGCUGCGGUUUACAUGAUCUCUAUGGGCCCCAAUAUAUUUUAACAUGAAUUAUACUAACAAAACAGUUUCAUAUAUGUUAAGAAUUUUUGAAGUGAUUUGCUAUUUUCUAAGGUUUUAAUGUGUGAUGCACUAGCUCACAUACUUAUCUACUGUGGAGGCACAAAAAUAAGUUUUAGCAUAUUUAUUUCCCUGUCUGCAUACCAUAAAUAUGGAAAGCAUAAAAAAAUAUUGAUCCUGUUAAAAGAUAAAUGAGUAUAAGAAAUUUCUAGAUUCUCAAAGCUUAUUUGUUUAGUACUAGCGCUUAAUCAGUUCCACAAGCUUUGUUGUCUAUUUAGCUUCAUAGGUUUUAAAGG
RNAcentral lists this long non-coding RNA (700 nucleotides) under Sorghum bicolor (sorghum). RNAcentral describes it as "long non-coding RNA (SBIC_LNC005187)". Lineage: Eukaryota; Viridiplantae; Streptophyta; Magnoliopsida; Poales; Poaceae. The record is from RNAcentral.